Molecule: ribosomal RNA, 433 nt
Filed under: uncultured bacterium
Lineage: Bacteria
Description: bacterial SSU rRNA
Rfam family: Bacterial small subunit ribosomal RNA
Source: RNAcentral
AACGAACGCUGGCGGCGUGCCUAACACAUGCAAGUCGAGCGCGAAUGGAGCAAUCCUAGUAGAGCGGCGCACGGGUGCGUAACACGUGGGUAAUCUGCCUAGAAGAUGAGGAUAACCAGUCGAAAGACUGGCUAAUACUCGAUAAGCCCACGGGGACUUCGGUCCCUGAGGGAAAAGGUGGCCUCUGUAUACAAGCUAUCACUUCUAGAUGAGCCCGCGGCCCAUCAGCUAGUUGGCGGGUAAUGGCCACCAAGGCGACGACGGGUAGCUGGUCUGAGAGGACGAUCAGCCACACUGGAACUGAGACACGGUCCAGACUCCUACGGGAGGCAGCAGUGGGGAAUUUUGCGCAAUGGGCGAAAGCCUGACGCAGCAACGCCGCGUGUGUGAUGAAGGUCUUCGGAUUGUAAAGCACUUUCGACCGGGACGAAAA